CUCAGAGAAGACACAUCAACUCACCAACUGCCUGUGUCAUCAGUCAGUGAAGCUCAUCCUCCAAGUCAGGUGACACAUCCCCUCCUCAGGGUCCGAGUAGGCAGGCAUGGCAGACGGCCGGCAACCAGAUGAGCACUGGGCCUCCCACGGCCAGGAGAAUGGUGAGAAUGGCUACUCAGCCUACAGUUCUGCCUACAGGGAGAAUGGAUAUCACGGUGGAGCAGCUCCCCAUCCUGGAACUACAGUGGAUGACUCAGCCAAUUUGCCUCCCUCCCCUCCCCCUUCUCCAUCCGCUGAGCAGAUUGGGCCCGUGGCACAAGGUACACCUUCACACACACUCAUGAGUGCUCCAGACCACAUUCAGAAUGGGAGUUUGAAUGGUCAUGAAAGUGACAAUAAAACACCAUACACACGUGUCUUGGUAAUAAUCUCUUGAAUCCUCUUUCUUAUAGUUCCAUAGCGUCUAACUAACUGAAAUUCCUGUUGCUUUGCAUGCCAGUUUACUGCCACAUCAGUCUGCAGCAGCAUGUGCUACACUGUCAUGUACACUGUCUGCCCUUUUUAAACGCUGGUCCGUUUUAUCUGUACCAGUAUUUUGUAAUAUACACCAGUACAUUAUGCAUAUAAAACACAGACAACCACACAAACACUAUUUAUCUUUUCAGUGCAGUUGCCACAAGAGCCCUUCACCUCAUUAGUCUGCUUCCCCCUCUCCACUCCUCGCUGUUCUUCCUCAGCUCGUUUGUAAUGUACAGUAAAUCACAGAUUGCCUUUGAGCUAUUUUCCAAUCUUUUUUUAUUUGGCAUGCAAUCCCUGAGGGGAAUAGAAUCAUAUAUAGUCACCCCAUUGCAUGGCUUAGAGUUUCAAUUGCUUCUUACAGAGCUGAGAAAAACAACUCUUGGGUUAAUUAAUAUGUUUAUUUUUGUUCUACACAAAGUAAUCUACUUGAGAGCAUGGCAACCCAUGCUUUUGCGACAUUCAUAAUUUUAGUAAGUAAAAUACCAAGUUAAUCACCAAGACUAGGCUACAAAGUGUGCUGAUUGCGUCCCAUUCAUCUUCAUUGGAGCUGAAAUUGUCUUGUAAUCCAUGUAACCCCAGUUUGCUGUUCCCCACGUGUCAUCCAUGUGUCUCUCCUGCCUACUCAAGAAGAUCAAAUAGAAGUUGUGAGUCAACAGCAGGAUGAGGAGGUGGCUCCAGAGGAGCCAAGCACUUACCAGAAGGAAGUCGUAUAUAAGCAGCCAGGAAUCUUGCGUCUAGAACAGACAGAUUAUUUGUCAGAGCCCCAGACCACACCUGAGCUUCUUAAUGGAGGAGGUCAUCAGGGUGAACACAGUAUGUCACAAAAAGGUGUGUGUGGUUCUAGAUAUAUUUGCGUGUGUGCAAACAUUUCUUCUGCGAAUAAUGAGUGAAUGAGUCUGUGCAUUGUCUUUUUUGCAUGAUCCUCUUGUGCUUCAUUGUGGGGCACAAAUACUUUAUGCUGUUGAUUUAUGGAAUUGUUUUGCAACUCAGGCUUUUUGCUGCGAACCUUCCUGUAGCUUUGUUGCAAAUAAAUCCCCAAGCUUCUGCUUCA
This is a long non-coding RNA of Betta splendens (Siamese fighting fish), 1570 nucleotides long. The record is from Ensembl. Lineage: Eukaryota; Metazoa; Chordata; Actinopteri; Anabantiformes; Osphronemidae.